This 1299-nucleotide long non-coding RNA is filed under the name Ursus maritimus (polar bear). RNAcentral's name for it is "lncRNA (ENSUMAG00000023069.1)". The record is from RNAcentral. Lineage: Eukaryota; Metazoa; Chordata; Mammalia; Carnivora; Ursidae.
CUACUCCUCUGCCAUCUUGGACUCCUCCCUGGUUAGUUUCUAUUAUAUUUCUUCAGAUCACUAAUCUUUUCUUCAGCAUCUGCUUUUAUCCCAUCCAGUGUAUUUUCCAUUUCAGAUAAUGUAUUUUUUAUCUCUAGACGUUUCACUGAAUCUUAUAUCUUCAUUUUCUCUAAUUAUUGUGGCCAUGUUUUCCCCUGCCUUUUUGAACUUAUAGAGCAUUUUUAAAAAUAUCUUAUUUAUUUAUUUGACAGAGAGAGAACAUGCAGCAGAGAGAGAGGGAGGAGAAGUGGAGGAAGAGGGAGAAGCAGAUUCCCCGCUGAGCACGGGCCCUAUGUGGAACUUGAUCCCAGGACCCCAGGAUCAUGACCUGAGCUGAAUGCAGACACUUAACUGACUGAGCCACCCAGGUGCCCUAGAGCAUUUUUAUAAUCACUGCUUUUAUGUCCCUGUUUGUUAGUUUCAUCACAUUAUUAUUUCUGGACCUGUUUUUAUUGGUCGAUAUUUUUCUUUUUUUUUUUAAACAAAAUUGUUCAGGUUUUAUUUAUCAGUAGCUCCUCUCUCUUCUCCCUGCCAGCCGCUGUGCCCUCUUCCACACUCUCAGAUUCAGAAGAGGACUUCUCUGGCCUCAUCAGUGGUAAUCUAACGGGAGCAGAGGUUGGUGAUGUCAACAGUAGGUGGAUGUGAGACAGGCUGGGGUCAGGGAGGCCCUUGAGAAGAAAGGCAGGUGCAGCCCGUAAGACAGAGACAAUCCUUAGCAGGACUGGUGAGCAGAUGGCACGGCCAAAGCCACGGCAGCUUCUUUCUAGCCACUUCCAGCCUUCCUUUUAGCACCUACGUCUGCUGGCGCUGCUCCAUCUUGCAUAGCCUCCUUCUGACCUGGGCUGGCGGCUUGGACAGCGGGGCUCACUACAGGCUCUUGGUGGAGCCAUGGCCUCUAUGAAUUCAUUUGUCCAGUAGCAGUUAACAAGUGAAGAACUGAGCGUUCUUCAAAGAUGACUCAGAUACAGGCUUGCUCUCAGAAACUUUGGAAUGUAGUUUAGACUCUGAAGAACCUGUGGAGAGUUUAGAUUUAUUUUUUCCUGGCCCCCAGCAACACACUCUCCCUCUGUUAACUCCUUAACCAGUGUUUUUCAUAUCACAAGAUGCAGCCUAUUAGUGGGUCAUGAUGGGCAUUUUUUUAAAAGUAGUCUCCUCCCCCCAGGGUGGAACCCAACUCGGGGCUUGAACUCAUGAGCCAGAUAGCAACACCUGAGCUGAGAUCAAGAGUCAAAUGCAUAACCAGAUGAGCCACCCAGGCAC